CACGGGGGGAGCAAGCGUUGUUCGGAAUCACUGGGCGUAAAGGGCGUGUAGGCGGUCAAGUAAGUGGAAUGUGAAAUGCCUCGGCUUACCCGGGGACCUGCCUCCCAAACUGCUUGGCUUGAGUAUGGGAGAGGAUGAGGGAAUUCCUGGUGUAGCGGUGAAAUGCGUAGAUAUCAGGAGGAACACCGGUGGCGAAGGCGGAUCUCUGGGCCUUACCUGACGCUCAGGCGCGAAAGCGAGGGGAGCAAACAGG
RNAcentral lists this ribosomal RNA (253 nucleotides) under uncultured bacterium. RNAcentral's name for it is "partial 16S ribosomal RNA". It matches the Rfam family "Bacterial small subunit ribosomal RNA", at positions 524 to 776 of the family's 1533-position model. The record is from RNAcentral.